AGAGUUUGAUCCUGGCUCAGGAUAAACGCUGGCGGCGCACAUAAGACAUGCAAGUCGAACGGACUUAACUCAUUCUUUUAGAUUGAGAGCGGUUAGUGGCGGACUGGUGAGUAACACGUAAGCAACCUGCCUAUCAGAGGGGAAUAACAGUGAGAAAUCAUUGCUAAUACCGCAUAAGCUAGUAGCAUCGCAUGAUGUAGCUAGAAAAGGAGCAAUCCGCUGAUAGAUGGGCUUGCGUCUAAUUAGCUAGUUGGUGGGGCAACGGCCUACCAAGGCGACGAUCAGUAGCCGGACUGAGAGGUUGAACGGCCACAUUGGGACUGAGAUACGGCCCAGACUCCUACGGGAGGCAGCAGUCGGGAAUAUUGCGCAAUGGAGGGAACUCUGACGCAGUGACGCCGCGUAUAGGAAGAAGGUUUUCGGAUUGUAAACUAUUGUCGUGAGGGAAGAAAUUGACAGUACCUCAGGAGGAAGCUCCGGCUAACUAUGUGCCAGCAGCCGCGGUAAUACAUAGGGAGCAAGCGUUAUCCGGAUUUAUUGGGUGUAAAGGGUGCGUAGACGGGAAAUUAAGUUAGUUGUGAAAUCCCUUGGCUUAACUGAGGAACUGCAACUAAAACUGGUUUUCUUGAGUACUGGAGAGGAAAGUGGAAUUCCUAGUGUAGCGGUGAAAUGCGUAGAUAUUAGGAGGAACACCAGUGGCGAAGGCGACUUUCUGGACAGUAACUGACGUUGAGGCACGAAAGUGUGGGGAGCAAACAGGAUUAGAUACCCUGGUAGUCCACACUGUAAACGAUGGAUACUAGGUGUAGGGUGUAUUAAGCACUCUGUGCCGCCGCAAACGCAUUAAGUAUCCCACCUGGGGGAGUACGAACCGCAAGGUUGAAACUCAAAAGGAAUUGACGGGGGCCCGCACAAGCAGUGGAAGUAUGUGGGUUUAAUUCGAAGCAACGCCGAAGAACCUUAUCAAGGGCUUGGCAUAAACAGGAAUUAAUUAAGAGAUUACUUAACUCUUCCGGAGCCUGUUUACAGGGGGGGCAAGGGUUGCGUCACCUCCUGGCCCGGGAAAGGUUGGGGUUAAUUCCCCCAACCAAGGGCAACCCCCGCUUUUUAUUUCCACCACCCAAAAGGUGGGGAACUCUCCAAAGGAUGCCGGGGAGAAAAUCAAAAAAAAAGUGGGGGCGAAGGUCAAAACUUCUUUGCUCUUUUUGCCUGGGGUUCACACAGUCUACAAGGGCCGCCCCAGGGGGGGGGGAAAAUUUGUGUUUUGGGAAACCCCAAAAAAGGUCUCAGUUCGGAUUGAAGGCUGAAAUUCGCCUUCAUGAAGCUGGAAUUGCUAGUAAUGGCAGGUCAGCAUACUGCCGUGAAUACGUUCCCGGGCCUUGUACACACCGCCCGUC
Molecule: ribosomal RNA, 1397 nt
Filed under: uncultured bacterium
Lineage: Bacteria
Description: bacterial SSU rRNA
Rfam family: Bacterial small subunit ribosomal RNA
Source: RNAcentral